Molecule: long non-coding RNA, 760 nt
Filed under: Equus asinus (donkey)
Lineage: Eukaryota; Metazoa; Chordata; Mammalia; Perissodactyla; Equidae
Description: lncRNA (ENSEASG00005023875.1)
Source: RNAcentral
AUUCGAACCAACGAAGCACUGGGCCGCCUGCAGCAGAGCGCGCGAACUUAACCACUCGGCCACGGGGCCAGCCCCAGCAAUAUGCCUUUUUGAUAGGCAUACCCCAGGUUUCUACCGUCUGUGGAACAUGGAAUCAAACCAGAAUAUGUUGGCAUAACAGGCCAGUCAAACCGGUUCUUCUGUGGAUCCAGAACCCGUCCAACCAGUCUGCAUCAAAGGCUAGCCCAACAAGCUGCAGCGGCUCAGCUCUGCUAAGCUUGUACCGGCAUGGCUUGCCAAGUGGUGCCAUGUCUGCAGCCAGGAUCCGAGCCGGUGAACCCUGGGCCGCUGAAGCGGAACGUGUGAACUUAACCACUGCACCACCGGGCUGGCCCCGAGAGAGAAGAAAGAUGGAUUGCUUAUAAAUGAAUGACAGUCUGAUGGAAUAUUUCUCAGCAGCAUCAACAGAAUACUGCAAUGAAGUGGUAUCUUCGAAGAGCUGAGGUAAAUUAAUUGUUUACUGGAAAGUCAAUAACCCUCUGAAAUAUAAUUCAAGAGCAAAACUCACAGAUCUUUUCUGAAAGAACACUAAGUGGUGUACUUCAGUCAGAAGAAAACGGAAUGCAGAAGAAAGGAGUGGGGCGUAAGAGCAAUGUGGAUCAAAGAGACUGGGAAAUGUAUUGGUAAGUCUUUAUAAACACUAACUAUAAAAUGUAAUGUUAAGAAUCAUUCUGUGAGAUAGAGGGCUCCUCAUUUUUACAGAUGGAGAAAAGAAGGGUGG